AAGUGGUAGGAGAGCGUUCUAUUUGCGUCGAAGGUAUACCGGUAAGGAGUGCUGGAGCGAAUAGAAGUGAGCAUGCAGGCAUGAGUAGCGAUAAUUAAUGUGAGAAUCAUUAACGCCGUAAACCCAAGGUUUCCUACGCGAUGCUCGUCAUCGUAGGGUUAGUCGGGUCCUAAGUCGAGUCCGAAAGGGGUAGACGAUGGCAAAUUGGUUAAUAUUCCAAUACCAACAUUAGUGUGCGAUGGAAGGACGCUUAGGGCUAAGGGGGCUAGCGGAUGGAAGUGCUAGUCUAAGGUCGUAGGAGGUUGUACAGGCAAAUCCGUAUAACAAUACUCCGAGAACUGAAAGGCUUUUUGAAGUCUUCGGAUGGAUAGAAGAACCCCUGAUGCCGUCGAGCCAAGAAAAGUUUCUAAGUUUAGCUAAUGUUGCCCGUACCGUAAACCGACACAGGUGGGUGGGAUGAGUAUUCUAAGGCGCGUGGAAGAACUCUCUUUAAGGAACUCUGCAAAAUAGCACCGUAUCUUCGGUAUAAGGUGUGGUUAGCUUUGUAUUAGGAUUUACUCCGAAAGCAAGGAAACUUACAACAAAGAGUCCCUCCCGACUGUUUACCAAAAACACAGCACUCUGCUAACUCGUAAGAGGAUGUAUAGGGUGUGACGCCUGCCCGGUGCUCGAAGGUUAAUUGAUGGGGUUAGCAUUAGCGAAGCUCUUGAUCGAAGCCCGAGUAAACGGCGGCCGUAACUAUAACGGUCCUAAGGUAGCGAAAUUCCUUGUCGGUUAAAUACCGACCUGCAUGAAUGGCGUAACGAGAUGGGAGCUGUCUCAAAGAGGGAUCCAGUGAAAUUGUAGUGGAGGUGAAAAUUCCUCCUACCCGCGGCAAGACGGAAAGACCCCGUGGACCUUUACUACAGCUUGACACUGCUACUUGGAUAAGAAUGUGCAGGAUAGGUGGGAGGCUUUGAGUAUAUGACGCCAGUUGUAUAUGAGCCAUUGUUGAGAUACCACUCUUUCUUAUUUGGGUAGCUAACCAGCUUGAGUUAUCCUCAAGUGGGACAAUGUCUGGUGGGUAGUUUGACUGGGGCGGUCGCCUCCCAAAUAAUAACGGAGGCUUACAAAGGUUGGCUCAGAACGGUUGGAAAUCGUUCGUAGAGUAUAAAGGUAUAAGCCAGCUUAACUGCAAGACAUACAAGUCAAGCAGAGACGAAAGUCGGUCUUAGUGAUCCGGUGGUUCUGUGUGGAAGGGCCAUCGCUCAAAGGAUAAAAGGUACCCCGGGGAUAACAGGCUGAUCUCCCCCAAGAGCUCACAUCGACGGGGAGGUUUGGCACCUCGAUGUCGGCUCAUCGCAUCCUGGGGCUGGAGCAGGUCCCAAGGGUAUGGCUGUUCGCCAUUUAAAGCGGUACGCGAGCUGGGUUCAGAACGUCGUGAGACAGUUCGGUCCCUAUCUGCCGUGGGCGUAAGAAGAUUGAAGAGAUUUGACCCUAGUACGAGAGGACCGGGUUGAACAAACCACUGGUGUAGCUGUUGUUCUGCCAAGAGCAUCGCAGCGUAGCUAAGUUUGGAAAGGAUAAACGCUGAAAGCAUCUAAGCGUGAAGCCAACUCUAAGAUGAAUCUUCUCUAAGCUCUCUAGAAGACUACUAGUUUGAUAGGCUGGGUGUGUAAUGGAUGAAAGUCCUUUAGCUGACCAGUACUAAUAGAGCGUUUGGCUUAUCUUU
RNAcentral lists this ribosomal RNA (1711 nucleotides) under Campylobacter jejuni. Its description in RNAcentral is "partial 23S ribosomal RNA". It matches the Rfam family "Bacterial large subunit ribosomal RNA", at positions 1223 to 2925 of the family's 2925-position model. Lineage: Bacteria; Pseudomonadati; Campylobacterota; Epsilonproteobacteria; Campylobacterales; Campylobacteraceae. The record is from RNAcentral.